ACGGGUGAGUAAUGCCUAGGAAUCUGCCUGGUAGUGGGGGACAACGUUUCGAAAGGAACGCUAAUACCGCAUACGUCCUACGGGAGAAAGCAGGGGACCUUCGGGCCUUGCGCUAUCAGAUGAGCCUAGGUCGGAUUAGCUAGUUGGUGAGGUAAUGGCUCACCAAGGCGACGAUCCGUAACUGGUCUGAGAGGAUGAUCAGUCACACUGGAACUGAGACACGGUCCAGACUCCUACGGGAGGCAGCAGUGGGGAAUAUUGGACAAUGGGCGAAAGCCUGAUCCAGCCAUGCCGCGUGUGUGAAGAAGGUCUUCGGAUUGUAAAGCACUUUAAGUUGGGAGGAAGGAUUGUAGAUUAAUACUCUGCAAUUUUGACGUUACCGACAGAAUAAGCACCGGCUAACUCUGUGCCAGCAGCCGCGGUAAUACAGAGGGUGCAAGCGUUAAUCGGAAUUACUGGGCGUAAAGCGCGCGUAGGUGGUUUGUUAAGUUGGAUGUGAAAUCCCCGGGCUCAACCUGGGAACUGCAUCCAAAACUGGCAAGCUAGAGUAUGGUAGAGGGUGGUGGAAUUUCCUGUGUAGCGGUG
RNAcentral lists this ribosomal RNA (585 nucleotides) under Pseudomonas sp. StFRB156. RNAcentral's name for it is "bacterial SSU rRNA". It matches the Rfam family "Bacterial small subunit ribosomal RNA", at positions 102 to 683 of the family's 1533-position model. The record is from RNAcentral. Lineage: Bacteria; Pseudomonadati; Pseudomonadota; Gammaproteobacteria; Pseudomonadales; Pseudomonadaceae. RNAcentral also lists the same sequence under 2 other names.